Molecule: ribosomal RNA, 492 nt
Filed under: uncultured bacterium
Lineage: Bacteria
Description: partial 16S ribosomal RNA
Rfam family: Bacterial small subunit ribosomal RNA
Source: RNAcentral
AGUGAACGCUGGCGGUAGGCCUAACACAUGCAAGUCGAACGGCAGCACAGUAAGAGCUUGCUCUUACGGGUGGCGAGUGGCGGACGGGUGAGGAAUACAUCGGAAUCUACUUUUUCGUGGGGGAUAACGUAGGGAAACUUACGCUAAUACCGCAUACGACCUACGGGUGAAAGCAGGGGAUCUUCUGACCUUGCGCGAUUGAAUGAGCCGAUGUCGGAUUAGCUAGUUGGCGGGGUAAAGGCCCACCAAGGCGACGAUCCGUAGCUGGUCUGAGAGGAUGAUCAGGCACACUGGAACUGAGACACGGUCCAGACUCCUACGGGAGGCAGCAGUGGGGAAUAUUGGACAAUGGGCGCAAGCCUGAUCCAGCCAUACCGCGUGGGUGAAGAAGGACUUCGGGUUGUAAAGCCCUUUUGUUGGGAAAGAAAAGCAGCAGGUUAAUACCCCGCUGUUAUGACGGUACCCAAAGAAUAAGCACCGGCUAACUUCGUG